Molecule: ribosomal RNA, 984 nt
Filed under: Salmonella enterica
Lineage: Bacteria; Pseudomonadati; Pseudomonadota; Gammaproteobacteria; Enterobacterales; Enterobacteriaceae
Also listed under: 1 other name
Description: partial 23S ribosomal RNA
Rfam family: Bacterial large subunit ribosomal RNA
Source: RNAcentral
AGACCCGAAACCCGGUGAUCUAGCCAUGGGCAGGUUGAAGGUUGGGUAACACUAACUGGAGGACCGAACCGACUAAUGUUGAAAAAUUAGCGGAUGACCUGUGGCUGGGGGUGAAAGGCCAAUCAAACCGGGAGAUAGCUGGUUCUCCCCGAAAGCUAUUUAGGUAGCGCCUCGUGAAUUCAUCUCCGGGGGUAGAGCACUGUUUCGGCUAGGGGGCCAUCCCGGCUUACCAACCCGAUGCAAACUGCGAAUACCGGAGAAUGUUAUCACGGGAGACACACGGCGGGUGCUAACGUCCGUCGUGAAGAGGGAAACAACCCAGACCGCCAGCUAAGGUCCCAAAGUCAUGGUUAAGUGGGAAACGAUGUGGGAAGGCCCAGACAGCCAGGAUGUUGGCUUAGAAGCAGCCAUCAUUUAAAGAAAGCGUAAUAGCUCACUGGUCGAGUCGGCCUGCGCGGAAGAUGUAACGGGGCUAAACCAUGCACCGAAGCUGCGGCAGCGACGCUGAUGCGUUGUUGGGUAGGGGAGCGUUCUGUAAGCCUGCGAAGGUGGCCUGUGAGGGUUGCUGGAGGUAUCAGAAGUGCGAAUGCUGACAUAAGUAACGAUAAAGCGGGUGAAAAGCCCGCUCGCCGGAAGACCAAGGGUUCCUGUCCAACGUUAAUCGGGGCAGGGUGAGUCGACCCCUAAGGCGAGGCCGAAAGGCGUAGUCGAUGGGAAACGGGUUAAUAUUCCCGUACUUGGUGUUACUGCGAAGGGGGGACGGAGAAGGCUAUGUUGGCCGGGCGACGGUUGUCCCGGUUUAAGCGUGUAGGCUGGUUUUCCAGGCAAAUCCGGAAAAUCAAGGCUGAGGCGUGAUGACGAGGCACUACGGUGCUGAAGCAACAAAUGCCCUGCUUCCAGGAAAAGCCUCUAAGCAUCAGGUAACAUCAAAUCGUACCCCAAACCGACACAGGUGGUCAGGUAGAGAAUACCAAGGCGCUUGAG